This 502-nucleotide ribosomal RNA is filed under the name uncultured bacterium. RNAcentral's name for it is "partial 16S ribosomal RNA". It matches the Rfam family "Bacterial small subunit ribosomal RNA", at positions 28 to 507 of the family's 1533-position model. The record is from RNAcentral.
GAUUAACGCUGGCGGCGUGCCUAACACAUGCAAGUCGAGCGGCAGCGAGUUUUACACUGAAUUCUGGAAGCUUCUAGUUGAAAGAGAAGAUUUAUUCAAGAAUUUUGUGUAAAAUGUCGGCGAGCGGCGGACGGCUGAGUAACGCGUGGGAACGUACCCCAAAGUGAGGGAUAACGCAUCGAAAGGUGUGCUAAUACCGCAUAUGGUCUUCGGAUUAAAGCCUUCGGGCGCUUUGGGAACGGCCUGCGUAAGAUUAGAUAGUUGGUGGGGUAAUGGCCUACCAAGGCGACGAUCUUUAACUGGUUUGAGAGGAUGAUCAGUCAGACUGGAACUGAGACACGGUCCAGACUCCUACGGGAGGCAGCAGUGAGGAAUCUUCCACAAUGGGCGAAAGCCUGAUGGAGCAACGCCGCGUGCAGGAUGAAGGCCUUCGGGUUGUAAACUGCUUUUAUAAGUGAGGAUUAUGACAGUAACUUAUGAAUAAGGAUCGGCUAACUACGUG